Zeugodacus cucurbitae (melon fly) is the source of this 2682-nucleotide long non-coding RNA. RefSeq lists it as uncharacterized. The record is from RefSeq and is a predicted model, not a curated record. The transcript is spliced from 2 exons. NCBI's taxonomy places the organism in Eukaryota, Metazoa, Arthropoda, Insecta, Diptera, Tephritidae.
UGCAAGUGGUAAAAAUAAAAAUAAUAAAAUAUUCAAGAAAAACAGUAGAAUAUCAUUCACAUUUAUAUUGCUUUCUUUUUAUAUUACUUUGCAAUUUAAAUCCAAAAUUCAUAUUAAAAAAAAAUUAAAAUCCUUUCCGUUUCGGAUAAAAGGAAAUGAAAAAGUGGCAAAAAAAACACGAAAACAGAAGAGGCGCGCUGUUACAAACAUGGCGCACAUACAGCUGUGUUUCAAUGCCAUAGCGUUCCACUAACAUGGCUGUAAAACAUUAAAAGUAAAAAUUCAAAAAACAUUUGACGUUCCUUCCACACACAGCGUUGCAUUUGGCACACAAAUUACGUUUGCUUUGAAUGUGGAUGAAUUGAAGAACAAACGCAAAAAACAAGAUGUGGUAUGGCGAAAGCGAAUGUUAUAGUCAAUUUUGCCCCAAAUAGCCCCAAUGCAGCAGGCGCAACAAAGAUGAAAAUAGUUGCACUCGAGCAAGCGUUCAUAAAUGACCGACCGACCGCCUAUAGUGCGUCGCGUUGUGAGUGUGUGAACGCAGAAUAUAUACAAUAAGAAACACAAAGAGGGGGGCAGCAGCAAAGAGCCAGCGCAUACAAGGAAAAUCGAUUAUGACAAGAAAACUGCAGCAACCUGUCGCCACUUUAGCAAAAUGCAAAGCUAUGUGAACACAUUUAAACUGUUAAUAUGCGGAUAAAAACAAUGAAAAUGAUCACGGACCAUUCAAAGCAGAAUGCUUGGUAGGCAAUUUGGUGAUAUCUCGCACACAAGCAACAAAAACCAAGAUGGCAGCGAAUAUGGAGUAUACGGCGAAUUGCGUAGAAGAAAGAAUGGCGGAAACUGUGAGAUACACACGGAAUACAUAUGGAUGUAUGUAAAAACAUGCGAAGCGAACUAUUCAAAAAAAAGAAAUGUCAAGCAAUUUCAUUACAAUAACAACAAACUGCGCAUAGCAAAAUUUAACAGUGCAACAGUAGUUGGCAUGUUGUCAUUAGCAUUGAAUAACACAGAACUGACAUACAUAUGUGUAUGUAUAUGUAAAUAUGUAUUUUUUUUACUAGUUGUUGCUUCCGUUCGCCCAAUACAAGCAAUUUGCAACACCACCACCACCAAUUAUCUGCUUCGACAUAAAUUUGAAACUUGGCGGCGUUAUGCUGCCACUUGGUAUGCCGCCAUACCAAUUGACCAUUUGCGGUGGAUACAUAUGUACAUAAGAAAUAAUGCUUUGGUUUAAUUUUUUUUUGUAAAGUGAAGCCUUGUAAACGAAAAUAUUGUCUUUAUGCGAGGUAGAAGUUCUAAUAUUGCUCGUUAGUGGCACCUUAGUGCAGGACUUUGUUCUACAAGUCUUCUUUAGGACAGUGUCUAAAGCGCACAACUCUUAUUCAUACACUGCAUUAGUGGUGUUCACUUUAGAAUUGACAUUAAAAAGGCAACAAUGUUUCAAUAAUCUGACCUUUAUUGUGCUUACAAAGUCAUUAAACAAUGUUCAAGAGUAUCAGCAUACAUAUUUGGUUGAAACUUUACUGAUAAAGACGAAUUACAAAUGGUUGUCUGUAUAUGAAGGCUCUUGGAUCUUGACUAACUUCUAUUUUUUAGACUCAAAAUUUUAAAUUUCGGUCUAUACAUAAUCAAUACAUAGGUUAGUACAUUUGGUACAGAAAUUAACUGAUGUGCAUAUGCUUUCAAGUGAUCGCAUUAAUUCCGAAACGUAGCAUUAUGAAUUUGCUAACGUUACUUACAUAUUUUUUAUUAGAAGAUUUAAGUAGAAAAGUAGUUAGUCAAGGGCAUUGUGCAGCCAAAUUGUUCAAGUGUUAAAAAAUAAACAAAUAAAUACCGCCAUCAAAGCGAGGAUAGCACAAAGUGCUCUGUAUGUGACCGCAUUGGCAACCCUCGGGUAGCCUAAUAUGCGUUGUUACUGCUAAAAAGGUAAUAUUCAGAUAUGCCUACACACUGUUCGCCCUAUAUGUGUACGUGUACGUGUAUGAAGCAUUGCAGCUACACGUGUGUGCGUUUGGGGGUACUACACGCGCGUUUAUUUGUAUGUUCAAUGUGCACUCAUGGCAGAUUAACUGAGUUUUUGAGACAAAUUAAUUUUCUUUGAUAUAAAUUCAAACGCAUUUGCGUUGGUGAUGAUGAUGACCGGCCAUAUGAUGAAAAACCAUAUUGUCUGUACACCCUGUGAUGACAUUUGGGGACAAGCAGCCCACGUCUAUAACCCUUCAACAACCUGCUGUUGCAGUCACUAUGCUAUUUUCUUAUAAAAGUAUAAAUGGGGAUGCCAAUGCGUGGCUAAAACAAAGGGAGGGCGGCGGGCAAAGACAAUAGCACAUAACGUAUACGUAUAUUAUAGUAUAUUAGCGCACACAGGAACUUGGCGUUACUUUAUACAACGAAACCAAAUAUAAGGUUGGAAAUGAAUACACCAACAAAUAGGCUAGGAAAUAAAUAUUACCGCGUGAGUUAUUUCAUAGCGCAAUAAACAUAGAAAAUUAUUAAUUAAUUUCAAAACUGCUUACCUGAUUAGCUUUGCGUGCGCGUCUUUCCAGUUCUAUUCUCUUUUCCAUUUUAUAUUUUUAUGUUUUUUUUUUGUGUUGUUUCUGAUGCACUCGUCGUACUUUUUCACUUGUAAUUCUCAGCUGCUGUUGCAAUUUCAGCUCCUUUUUGAGUGUGUUACAAUAU